GACGAACGCUGGCGGCGUGCUUAACACAUGCAAGUCGAACGGAAAGGCCCUGCUUUUGUGGGGUGCUCGAGUGGCGAACGGGUGAGUAACACGUGAGUAACCUGCCCUUGACUUUGGGAUAACUUCAGGAAACUGGGGCUAAUACCGGAUAGGAGCUCCUGCUGCAUGGUGGGGGUUGGAAAGUUUCGGCGGUUGGGGAUGGACUCGCGGCUUAUCAGCUUGUUGGUGGGGUAGUGGAUUACCAAGGCUUUGACGGGUAGCCGGCCUGAGAGGGUGACCGGCCACAUUGGGACUGAGAUACGGCCCAGAAUCCUACGGGAGGCAGCAGUGGGGAAUAUUGCACAAUGGGCGGAAGCCUGAUGCAGCAACGCCGCGUGCGGGAUGACGGCCUUCGGGUUGUAAACCGCUUUCGCCUGUGACGAAGAGUGAGUGACGGUAAUGGGUAAAGAAGCACCGGCUAACUACGUG
Molecule: ribosomal RNA, 468 nt
Filed under: uncultured bacterium
Lineage: Bacteria
Description: partial 16S ribosomal RNA
Rfam family: Bacterial small subunit ribosomal RNA
Source: RNAcentral